This 72-nucleotide transfer RNA is filed under the name Patescibacteria group bacterium. RNAcentral describes it as "tRNA-Ile". It matches the Rfam family "tRNA". Rfam says of the family: Transfer RNA (tRNA) molecules are approximately 80 nucleotides in length. Their secondary structure includes four short double-helical elements and three loops (D, anti-codon, and T loops). The record is from RNAcentral.
GGGCACGUAGCUCAAUCACGGAGCAGACGACUGAUACUCGUUGUGAUGUAGGUGUAAACCCUAUCGUGCCCA